ACGAACGCUGGCGGCGUGCUUAACACAUGCAAGUCGAGCGGUAAGGCCCUUUCGGGGUACACGAGCGCGAACGGUGAGUAACACGUGGGUGACCUGCCCUUAGCUCUGGGAUAAGCCUGGGAAACUGGGUCUAAUACCGGAUAUGACUCCAUAACGCAUGUUGUGGGGUGGAAAGCCUUGUGCGGCUAGGGAUGGGCCCGCGGCCUA
Molecule: ribosomal RNA, 207 nt
Filed under: uncultured bacterium
Lineage: Bacteria
Description: partial 16S ribosomal RNA
Rfam family: Bacterial small subunit ribosomal RNA
Source: RNAcentral